UACGUAGGGUGCAAGCGUUAAUCGGAAUUACUGGGCGUAAAGCGUGCGCAGGCGGUUAUGUAAGACAGGUGUGAAAUCCCCGGGCUUAACCUGGGAACUGCAUUUGAGACUGCAUAGCUAGAGUACGGUAGAGGGGGAUGGAAUUCCGCGUGUAGCAGUGAAAUGCGUAGAUAUGCGGAGGAACACCGAUGGCGAAGGCAAUCCCCUGGACCUGUACUGACGCUCAUGCACGAAAGCGUGGGGAGCAAACAGG
This 253-nucleotide ribosomal RNA is filed under the name uncultured bacterium. RNAcentral's name for it is "partial 16S ribosomal RNA". It matches the Rfam family "Bacterial small subunit ribosomal RNA", at positions 524 to 776 of the family's 1533-position model. The record is from RNAcentral.